This 1360-nucleotide ribosomal RNA is filed under the name Azana sp. WQY005. RNAcentral describes it as "16S ribosomal RNA". Lineage: Eukaryota; Metazoa; Arthropoda; Insecta; Diptera; Mycetophilidae. The record is from RNAcentral.
AAGUUUUUUUAAAAAUAAUUUUUAAUAAUUUUGUUUAAGUAUAUUUUGUAAAAAAAAUAAUUUUUAUUAUAGUUAAUUAGUAUUAUAAAAGAAUAUUGAAAUAAUUUGAAAAAUUAAAAUUUAUUUAAAGAAAAUUUAGUUUAUUGUACCUUGUGUAUCAGGGUUUAUUAAUUAAAAAAUAAUUUAAUUAUUUUUCUCGAUUUAAAAAGAUUUAAUUUUAUAUUAUAGUUAAUGUUGCAUAAUUAUUAUAAAUUUAAUUUUAGAAAUGAAAGGUUAAUCGUUUUUUAUGAUAUCUAGUUUUUUUAGAAAUAAGUUUAAUUUAUAAAAAUUAGAUUUUUAUUUUUAAUUAAUUUUAAAUUUAAUUUAAAAUUUUUAAAUAAUUUAAGGGAUAAGCUUUAAAUUAAAUAGUUAAAAAUUAAUAUUUUUAAAAGUUAAUAAUAAGCUUAGAAAUAGUUAUUUUUUGUAAAUAUGUAAUAAUUUAUUAUAAAUUUAAAAAUUAUUUAUUAAUUAUUUUAAUUUUUUAUAAAAAUUAUUAUAUAAAUUUUUUAUAUUAUUUAAUAAUGAUAAAAUUAGUAUAUUAUUUUUAAUUUUAUUAAUAUUUAAUUAAUUUAUUUAUUUUUUGUUAUUAAAUUAAAUUUUAUUUAAAAUUUUAAUAAUGAAUUCGGCAAAAUUAAUUUUACUCAAUUGUUUAUCAAAAACAUUUCUUUUUGGUUUAAUUUAAAGUAUAACCUGCCCAUUGAAUUAAUUUUAACGGCUGCAGUAAUUUGACUGUACAAAGGUAGCAUAAUCAUUAGUUUUUUAAUUGAAAACUAGAAUGAAUGGUUGAAUGAAGGAAAAGCUGUAUUAUAAGUAUUAAUAGAAUUUUAUUUUUUAGUUAAAAAGCUAAAAUAAAUUUAAAAGACGAGAAGACCCUAUAGAAUUUAAUAGUUUAUAUUUAUAUUUAAUUAAUUAUAUAAUUUUAAUUUAUAUAAAAAAUUAUUUUGUUGGGGUGAUAGUAAAAAUUAAAUAUCUUUUAUUUUUUUUUUAACAAUAAUUUUUGAAUAGUUGAUCCGUUAUUAAUGAUUAAAAGAUUAAAUUACCUUAGGGAUAACAGCGUAAUUUUUUUAGAGAGUUCUUAUCGAUAAAAAAUUUUGCGACCUCGAUGUUGGAUUAAGAAAAAUUUUUAAUGUAGCAGUUAAAUUAUUUAAGUCUGUUCGACUUUUAAAUUCUUACAUGAUCUGAGUUCAAACCGGUGUGAGCCAGGUUGGUUUCUAUCUUUAAAAUUAUAAUUAUAUUUUAGUACGAAAGGACCAUAUAUAAGAAAAAUAAUUUUUGUAAUUAAUUUUGAAUAUUAUUAAUUAAAAAAUUAUAUUUAAUAAAU